RNAcentral lists this ribosomal RNA (347 nucleotides) under uncultured bacterium. RNAcentral's name for it is "bacterial SSU rRNA". It matches the Rfam family "Bacterial small subunit ribosomal RNA", at positions 28 to 373 of the family's 1533-position model. The record is from RNAcentral.
GACGAACGCUGGCGGCGUGCUUAACACAUGCAAGUCGAACGAUGAAGCUAGAGCUUGCUCUGGUGAAUUAGUGGCGAACGGGUGAGUAACACGUGAGUAACCUGCCCCGAACUCUGGGAUAACUGCUGGAAACGGUAGCUAAUACUGGAUACGACCUACGAAGGCAUCUUCUGUAGGUGGAAAGAAUUUCGGUUCGGGAUGGACUCGCGGCCUAUCAGCUUGUUGGUGAGGUAAUGGCUCACCAAGGCGACGAACGGGUAGCCGGCCUGAGAGGUGACCGGCCACACUGGGACUGAGACACGGCCCAGACUCCUACGGGAGGCAGCAGUGGGGAAUAUUGCACAAUA